Arabidopsis thaliana (thale cress) is the source of this 215-nucleotide long non-coding RNA. RefSeq annotates it as other RNA. The transcript has a single exon. Lineage: Eukaryota; Viridiplantae; Streptophyta; Magnoliopsida; Brassicales; Brassicaceae. The record is from RefSeq.
GGAUAAUAUAUGAACAAAUUGUACAAAUGAUAGUGUUAGACUUAUCACAAAACAAUCCAAAACAAAAAAAACAUCAACUCUGAAAUGUAUGUGGCUGUGAAUUUGGAAAGACACUUAAAUGUUUCUUUAGACCGUUGAAGUGUUGUUGGGAAAUGAGUGUACGCAGCUUGAUCCUUAAAGAUUUUUUGGACAUUUCUGCCGUCUUGUUGUUAGGC